AAGGGAGACCUAAUUCAGGUAGGAGACGAAAAAAAAGUAGUCCCUACCAAGAAUCAAUCCCAAAAGGUCGGAGCGAGGCAAAAUUGGCUUUCAAACUAGGUUCUGGGUUCACACAAGACCUGAAUCAGGAACAAGGGCUAUUAGCUCAGGUGGUUAGAGCGCACCCCUGACAAGGGUGAGGUCCCUGGUUCGAGUCCAGGAUGGCCCACCUGUACAGGUGGCAAAAACAAAGAAAAGAAGCGAGGAAUCAGCACCUUAUCUUACUUAUAUAGUAAGAGAGAAUGCUGGCUCUGAGUUCAGAGUCCAGAGGAACCUUGAAAACUGCAUAGAGCUAGGUGAAAAAGCCAAAAAAGAAGACCACAA
This 363-nucleotide transfer RNA is filed under the name uncultured Microcystis sp. RNAcentral describes it as "partial miscellaneous RNA". The stretch from base 135 to 208 matches the Rfam family "tRNA". The record is from RNAcentral. Lineage: Bacteria; Bacillati; Cyanobacteriota; Cyanophyceae; Chroococcales; Microcystaceae.